Molecule: ribosomal RNA, 253 nt
Filed under: uncultured bacterium
Lineage: Bacteria
Description: partial 16S ribosomal RNA
Rfam family: Bacterial small subunit ribosomal RNA
Source: RNAcentral
UACGUAGGGUGCAAGCGUUGUUCGGAAUUAUUGGGCGUAAAGAGCUCGUAGGCGGUUUGUCGCGUCUGCUGUGAAAACCCGAGGCUCAACCUCGGGCCUGCAGUGGGUACGGGCAGACUAGAGUGCGGUAGGGGAGAUUGGAAUUCCUGGUGUAGCGGUGGAAUGCGCAGAUAUCAGGAGGAACACCGAUGGCGAAGGCAGAUCUCUGGGCCGUAACUGACGCUGAGGAGCGAAAGCAUGGGGAGCGAACAGG